AGUGAACGCUGGCGGUAGGCCUAACACAUGCAAGUCGAACGGCAGCACAGUAAGAGCUUGCUCUUACGGGUGGCGAGUGGCGGACGGGUGAGGAAUACAUCGGAAUCUACUUUUUCGUGGGGGAUAACGUAGGGAAACUUACGCUAAUACCGCAUACGACCUACGGGUGAAAGCAGGGGAUCUUCGGACCUUGCGCGAUUGAAUGAGCCGAUGUCGGAUUAGCUAGUUGGCGGGGUAAGGGCCCACCAAGGCGACGAUCCGUAGCUGGUCUGAGAGGAUGAUCAGCCACACUGGAACUGAGACACGGUCCAGACUCCUACGGGAGGCAGCAGUGGGGAAUAUUGGACAAUGGGCGCAAGCCUGAUCCAGCCAUCCCGCGUGGGUGAAGAAGGCCUUCGGGUUGUAAAGCCCUUUUGUUGGGAAAGAAAAGCAGCAGGUUAAUACCCCGCUGUUCUGACGGUACCCAAAGAAUAAGCACCGGCUAACUUCGUG
This 492-nucleotide ribosomal RNA is filed under the name uncultured bacterium. RNAcentral's name for it is "partial 16S ribosomal RNA". It matches the Rfam family "Bacterial small subunit ribosomal RNA", at positions 29 to 507 of the family's 1533-position model. The record is from RNAcentral.